UAAAGUAUGGAUUCUUGGAAAAUUCACAUUUAAUAAAGUAUGGAUUCUUGGAAAAUUCACAUUUAAAUCUUUCAUUGAAUUUUUCUUAAGGUGAGUCGCCUGCCGGUCGGUCCUUCGCGCCUUACUUUAAUAUGUUUCCAUCUUUGAAAACUCGAUAAAUUUAUUUGGGAAUUAAUUAAUUAAGGUUCAAGCUCAAAUUCCUUAAAUUAAUUCCAAGCUCACAUAAAUAAUUCUCGGCUCAAAUAUUUAAUCUCAGCCCAACUUCUCAAUUAAAAUUGGUCCAUGCUCCAUUCUCCUUUAAAACAUUUAGGACCAUUUCACCACUAAUUCCAUUGAGUCCAUCUAACUAAUUAAGUCAGCCACCACUUCAAAUAAUUACUAAAGCCCAACUAAAAUAAAUAAGGUGGCCCAAUAAAGAAAAAAAAAGUGUCCAAUUAUGCUACUUCCUUCUCCAUCGUCAUUUCCCCCAAAUUCCCUUUCCAAUUAAAAUCCCUAAUCUAGAAAUGAAGCGAAGCAGCGGCGCCUCCAUCUUUUCCUCACGGUUCUUCGCCGUUUCAAUCGAUCGCCGAAAUCCGAUGGCGUAUACUUUCUCCUCACGCCUCUCUCUUUCCUCCGUCGUCUCCGGUGAAUCAACGCCCACCGUGAUCCCUUUCUCCUCCGCGAAUUAAUUGGUGGAGAGGAGGCGUCGCCUCUCUCCCACGGCGUUGCCCUUGGUGAGCAGUCGUCCCCGGCGGCCGCCUUUCGCUGUUGCUCCAGCGGCGAAGUCACCAAUCGAGGGGAAAGGCGCCUAGAUCGUGGAACUCAGGUUCGUCAUCGCGCCUACGUCGUCAGCCUCGGCGAGUGAAGCCGCUGACCGCCCCGCCUCGCCUCUGCUGCGUCGGCAAUCGCUUCGUCGCCGGACAGCCUAAAGCUAAGUUCUUUAUACAACUUCUUUUAAUUUGUUUGGCAGUAGCUUAUGUUUUGAGAUGAAGUCUUGUACAUGCUAAUGUUGUGGGAAUCUAUGGAGCUCUAUGUUCUCUAAGUUCUUGGCUAAACCAUGUUGUUCUACAAUGAUGCAAGAGGGAUUUGUUGAGGGGGUUACCUCUCGAACUUGUAGCUUGAAUCUCUAGUUUCCAAAAUUCUCAAAGUUUACUCUCUCUUUGAAGCUCCUAUGGGUGUGGGAGUUGUCUGCAAGAACUCUGCAGAAACUCUACUCCAAGCCCUCACUCUCAAACUUGCCAUUGUGGCUGAAAAUUCAAAGUGUAUGAGAAAGGGAGUUCGAAUGUGGUGUGGAGUUAUUUAUAGGCGAAGUGUGGUGUACCCGUGAGGCCUUAAAUGGUUGUUGUACCAUUUGUUGUUAUGCUGCAGCAAAUCUCACUUUUAGAGAUCACAUUGCCUCUCCUUUAUGGCUGCAACUUGGUAUUUUAUGGGUACCUAGUACUAGUUAGUAAUUGGAAUUGUUUGAUUGUGCAGAGAAGCAGGUGGCUGUUGUGCCAAAGGAGCUGCAGGGCUGACUUGCCUCUUAUGGUGAUUCUUUGGUCAUCUAUAACUAAAGAAAAGUUGUCUCCAUCCCUAUGGUCGAGAAAAACUUGGUUGCCAAGCUGCUGACCGGGACAGCUUGAUACCCCGGCCCAACGGCUGAUCGGAAAACGGCCGCAACUUUCGGCCCGGAAAAAGAGACCCGAUGCCAUUUGUUCCAUACACAUUUAUCUUUCCCUUUCUUUGUUUCCUUUAUUGGAAGCCUUGUUCUAAGUAUUGUAGUAUUUUGAAGAUUAGUUGUUCGUUUAUUGAGUAAGAAUUGCUAUUCGAAAAUUCCUGACAUUCUACAAUGUAAAUUCCAAUUGUUUAGUUCAUUUGAUUUUCACUUCAA
This is a long non-coding RNA of Salvia hispanica, 1849 nucleotides long. RefSeq lists it as uncharacterized. Lineage: Eukaryota; Viridiplantae; Streptophyta; Magnoliopsida; Lamiales; Lamiaceae. The record is from RefSeq and is a predicted model, not a curated record.